CCUACGGGGAGCAGCAGUCGAGAAUCAUUCACAAUGGGGGAAACCCUGAUGGUGCGACGCCGCGUGGGGGAAUGAAGGUCUUCGGAUUGUAAACCCCUGUCAUGUGGGAGCAAAUUAAAAAGAUAGUACCACAAGAGGAAGAGACGGCUAACUCUGUGCCAGCAGCCGCGGUAAUACAGAGGUCUUAAGCGUUGUUCGGAAUCACUGGGCGUAAAGCGUGCGUAGGCUGUUUCGUAAGUCGUGUGUGAAAGGCGCGGGCUCAACCCGCGGACGGCACCUGAUACUGCGAGACUAGAGUAAUGGAGGGGGAACCGGAAUUCUCGGUGUAGCAGUGAAAUGCGGAGAUAUCGAGAGGAACACUCGUGGCGAAGGCGGGUUCCUGGACAUUAACUGACGCUGAGGCACGAAGGCCAGGGGAGCGAAAGGGAUUAGAUACCCGAGUAGUC
RNAcentral lists this ribosomal RNA (446 nucleotides) under uncultured bacterium. Its description in RNAcentral is "partial 16S ribosomal RNA". It matches the Rfam family "Bacterial small subunit ribosomal RNA", at positions 338 to 795 of the family's 1533-position model. The record is from RNAcentral.